RNAcentral lists this transfer RNA (74 nucleotides) under Clostridia bacterium. Its description in RNAcentral is "tRNA-Thr". It matches the Rfam family "tRNA". Rfam says of the family: Transfer RNA (tRNA) molecules are approximately 80 nucleotides in length. Their secondary structure includes four short double-helical elements and three loops (D, anti-codon, and T loops). The record is from RNAcentral. Lineage: Bacteria; Bacillati; Bacillota; Clostridia.
GGGGUAGUAGCUCUAAUUGGCAGAGCGUGAGAUUUGUAAUCUUAAGGUUAAGGGUUCAAGUCCCUUCUGCCCCU